Molecule: ribosomal RNA, 452 nt
Filed under: Babesia canis canis
Lineage: Eukaryota; Apicomplexa; Aconoidasida; Piroplasmida; Babesiidae
Description: SSU rRNA
Rfam family: Eukaryotic small subunit ribosomal RNA
Source: RNAcentral
AGGUAGUGACAAGAAUUAACAAUACAGGGCGAAUGUCUUGUAAUUGGAAUGAUGGUGACCCAAACCCUCACCAGAGUAGCAAUUGGAGGGCAAGUCUGGUGCCAGCAGCCGCGCUAAUUGCAGCUCCAAUAGCGUACUAUUAAACUUGUUGCAGUUAAAAAGCUCGUAGUUGUAUUUUUGCGUUGACGGUUUGACCAUUUGGUUGGUUAUUUCGUUUUCGCUUUUGGGAAUUUCCCUUUUUACUUUGAGUAAAUUAGAGUGUUUCAAGCAGACUUUUGUCUUGAAUACUUCAGCAUGGAAUAAUAGAGUAGGACUUUGGUUCUAUUUUGUUGGUUAUUGAACCUUAGUAAUGGUUAAUAGGAUGGGUCCUAACCAUAAACUAUGCCGACUAGUGAUUGGAGGUCGUCGUUUUUUGACCCCUUCAGGAACUUGAGAGAAAUCAAAGUCUUUGG